This 4338-nucleotide ribosomal RNA is filed under the name Triticum aestivum (bread wheat). RNAcentral's name for it is "partial small subunit ribosomal RNA". The record is from RNAcentral. Lineage: Eukaryota; Viridiplantae; Streptophyta; Magnoliopsida; Poales; Poaceae.
GGGGGAAGGCAGGCAGCGUCCGAAAUUACCAGCGGAUCGCGGUCGAGCAGCCUUAGGCCCUCAGUCGAAGAGGUGAAGGGAGGCGGAGAGAGCGAGCGAGCGAGAGGUGGGUGUAGCGGUUGUCGGUCGUGGCGGAGGCGGCGGCGCCGCCGCCGAGCAGACUGCAGACACGUUCCACUUACGCAGCCGAGGAGAACCCCGAACACAAGACUACCACCCCCACCUCGGCGGCCGCGGCGGGAGCGCCUGCGGCUAGCCGCGCGCCGACCGCCGGGCGCCCCAGUCCGGCUCCUCCCAGAGGCGGUUCGCGAGGACCGGCGGGCCGACGCCGGCGAAGGCACGACGAGGCGGACGGGGGCUCCGGCCGCUGCCGCUCUCCCCGCGGUGGUUACCGCAGUAGCUCCCGUCUCACCUCCUCCGCCGGUCGGUGCGCCCGCAAAGGAACCGCCGCCGGGGCGGAGUCGGCCUAUGACUCCCCAACCGCCUCCCCUGCUUCCUCCAACCUCUACGUUAGCUGCGGCAGCAACAAAGUAGCCGUCGCACGUUGCCGCUGGAGGGAGUGCGGGGCGGAGUCGGCCUCUGCUACGGCCUCCUCUCCUUCCUCCCUUCUCUCUGUGUGUACCUGUCCCGGCCACAAAGGAGGCACCGCACGUUGCCACUGGAGGGCGUGCCGGACGGAGUCGGCCUCUGACUCCCCUACCACGUCGACUCCUUCCUCCCACCUCUCCGUGUGUACCUAUGACGGCUACAAGGGAGACACCGUUCAUUGUCGCUAGAAGGUGUGCGGGGCGGAGUCGGCCUCUGGUACCACCUCCACUCCUUCCUUCCACCUCUCCGCGUUGGUAGGUCGCCACCGCUACGGGCUCCAGUCCGUCUUUCGUCUCGCUAGCUCCACUACGGCGACCGCAAACGACGGGGCUUCUCAAAACGACAACGAAGACAGUUACCAAGGCAGCUCUUACCCCCUCUACCCCGACUCAGUAACGACUACCUCCCCUUGUCUCCGGACCCCUCACCAGCUAACCAGUCCCUCCUCCUACACCGACCGUUACCGUUACCGUCACACUACCUUUUGUCUUGCCCAUUACCACUUAACCUCUCUUUUCUCCUACCUGUACUAUGUCACUCUUUCUUCUCCACCAACUACAGACGACAUUUAGGGGGAGGGUUCUCCUCCCGGUAGAGUCGACAUGCGUUAAAAGGUGGACCGACACCCUCCCUACGACAAUGACCUUGACCGUCGCCUCAACUCCUUCCCAGUCAUAACCUUCGGUGCGGAUAGUCAAAGCGAUGGUCCCCGCGGAGACAUCACCUACGGAACUGGCGCCGAGGUCAAAGUCCAGUACCACGAAGGGGCCACCAGCACUCUCUACGAAGGUUACUCCUCCACGUUCCGUUUUCUCGUCUUCAACAUCCUCGCCCACUACCACUCCACUCUCCGUUUAAGCUACCUUGGAACGCCUUUCCAUGAGGAUUCUGAAUACACUCUUCAGCAAAACAACUACGUUUCUGUUUCCCGUUCGCUGGUUUCCUACAGCGCUACUUACUAUGUAACGCUCCUCUGCCGUGCGACUUUUUGUUCUUAAGUUCUCUACUACACGCGAGUUUAUCAUUGUGCUUCGUACCGCAACACUUCAACUUCUCAAUACCGUAUCCGUUCCUGAGAAACUAGUCCAGAAGAUUCCUCAGGUUCACACCUUUAGUACUAUACUGGUUAGUUUCACUUCUUUGGCUACUAAACUGGAAGUAAUCACUGUUCGAUUAACAUGUUCGUAACUACCGAGGUCUGUUUACGGGUACCUGUUUUCCUUCCUUCAGAUCACGAUCACGAAGGUUGAGAGAAUGAGGAUCCUUGUUCAGAGAAGGAGGAUUCUUUGGCUUCUUUUUCCUGCGAUGAGGUUCCUUUCUUAACGGGGGGUUUCACUGUGGAAGAUGUAGCCGGCACGUACUCUUUUAACUCGUACCUCUCAUGAGAACGAACCUUCUACUACUGUUGGGAUACCGUAAUCAACAGGUACUUUCCUUUCUUAACACACAGUGAGAGGGAGGAACACGAGGAAAACCCCUGGUUUCACAACUACGAGCUUCGUUUCAAUCCUUCAACGAGUUCAACAAGGUCAACUAUACAGCCUUCGAAUACGUUCGGCUCCUUGUUGUUAAUGCAUUACAACCUUCCUAACUGGAACUCCGGCAACUUCAAGAUUUCUUCAUACUACCUAUAAGAUUUGGGCUACGAUAGCACCCGUCACAAGGGCCACAACAACAACCACUACUUAAAGUAAAAUCUCAACUCAACAGCUAUCAACCUGAUGUAUCCUAUAUGGUUCCACCGUAACUGAGGCGGUAACACCUACCAUGGGCGUAACGUUAUUCGUAACAGCGAAGGCCACCCAUAGGGCUACUCAACAGAUCGAGCCUGCUCAAUUAUAUAUGGCCGAGGCCUCCAUUUCGGUGGCCGUUCUUCCUCCGUCUCCUAGUUUUCGAAUUCCCACCAUUAGAACGGAACUUCUUAACGUAGUUUUGAUUCUGAGGCCAGGCUCACUAAGUACCCAAGUUUCCAGUUUCAUCUUCACUUCAGCCCGUAAGAUUUAGGUUCGUUUAUAGCUGUAUGUGAAUACUACCCAAUAUACACCACCACCUAACAACCGUUCUUCCUCGUUCACCGAGCUACCAGAAGUUCAUGUUCAAUUUUUCCUAGGGCCCAGUUGGACUUGAUCGAAAUGUGUAUCAGUUCCUUUGUUCCUACAGAUUUCAAGCAUUUCCAGAAGCGACAGGACUAUAUAGAGAUCUCUUUCUUUCCUAAGGGUAUACACACUAGUUGUGUUAACUACUGCGCGUCGGUUGUGGUAAACUCAUAUAGUGGUUUCAGUAUAUAGGUGGCAGCAUACGUUUUCUUGGAGGCGUGCCGACACUAACGUGGCUGCCAACGAGCCUGAGAUCAUCUACACGAACACGUCACUUCUUACCUCCUCUUUAGGGUAAGUUAAAAUUACCACGUUAACAAGUGCGUUUCGGCGAGUAUAUACUCACACCGGGUAGAACGUCCACGGGAGGUUGUACGGUGUUAUCCCGCUCGGUCGUACCAUAGUUUUAAGGCGACCUUUAUAAGUUCUGACCCCUCUGUCCAACCCCACAUUCUAGAGAGUCAAGAUAGAGAAGUCCGUCAAAGUAUACGCUCAUACGUCCACUCGAUAACGUUCUAUGUCUUCGACUUUUCUAUCUCUUGCUACUCAUGGACAAACUAUAACCAGUAUUGAUGCUACUACUUCUUGAAACCUUCCCCGAAGGUAGAUACUAAGGUCCAAAUCUUAGAAGAUGGAGACUCUGUUACGUCCUCCGACACCCGAAGUGUUAUCUACGACGUUUCACGCCAUUGCAGCCUUCUAAGUAGUUGGUAUCGACGAGGGGUUUGGACAUACGUGUUUUACAGGAGACCCUGGUACUACUGUUCUCCUACGGCGUGUAAUACAAAAAACGACGGCUCUUGUAAGGAGGCGAAGUUCUCGACUGAAUGGUGAUGUUAAUAUGUUAUCCAGUUCAGGCACUGUUCUUACCACACCUCUUUCAUUUCCUCACGAACACACCAAGCCGACUAACGACAGUGUCCGAAAUGAUUCAAUAACCAAAAGCCACUGACCACUACAAUUACAAGCAUAGGCUACCUUUAGUCAGGAUAUUACCGUCACGAGUGAGCGAAAUGGAAGACCACUGGAACGUGAGCGACUGUUGUACAUCACAAAUAAAAGACACGGUCAACUUGAUAAUAAACAAUGACGUAAAACUUCUUGUAUAUUCGAGGUUAUCGAGUGGGAAAAACCCACAAACCCUCUGAAACUUUCUCAUCAUACUUCACAGGUCUUAGUUCGUAAAACCGCAACGUGUAAGAGGACAACCUUAGAAGUGUACCUGGUCCUCCUAUGUUUAUACGUUACUAAUCGAACAAACCUCGAAACGUGACUUGUACAAUGAUCAUCAUCCUGAUUUCUACCACCGAUGUUCACGGGCCUCGACGCAGCUGAAGGUCAACGCUACGGCCCCUGUCUGAUCUACUAUUUAACGAAGACGUUUCCUGACGGGGCGUAGUAAAACGAGUUGACACCUAGCGUUCCGACAUCGUUCGACGGCUAACUUCAACACCCAAGUAUGGGGAAAAAAACGGAAAUAUUUUUACUUAAAACACCUAGGUUAUCACUCGACGGGAUAGAAUUUCUCAACGUCGAGAAGGACGUACAUUUCAAAAGUCACAACCAAACCUGGUAGUCUAUCUGAACGACCUCAACAAAGAGUCUACGAUGGUACGUUGAAGUCCUUUAUAUCUUGUAAGGAUGACAAGGGUGU